This 466-nucleotide ribosomal RNA is filed under the name uncultured bacterium. RNAcentral describes it as "partial 16S ribosomal RNA". It matches the Rfam family "Bacterial small subunit ribosomal RNA", at positions 28 to 507 of the family's 1533-position model. The record is from RNAcentral.
GACGAACGCUGGCGGCGCGCCUAACACAUGCAAGUCGAACGAGCGAGAGAGAGCUUGCUUUCUCGAGCGAGUGGCGAACGGGUGAGUAACGCGUGAGGAACCUGCCUCAAAGAGGGGGACAACAGUUGGAAACGACUGCUAAUACCGCAUAAGCCCACGACCCGGCAUCGGGUAGAGGGAAAAGGAGCAAUCCGCUUUGAGAUGGCCUCGCGUCCGAUUAGCUAGUUGGUGAGGUAACGGCCCACCAAGGCGACGAUCGGUAGCCGGACUGAGAGGUUGAACGGCCACAUUGGGACUGAGACACGGCCCAGACUCCUACGGGAAGCAGCAGUGGGGAAUAUUGCACAAUGGGGGAAACCCUGAUGCAGCGACGCCGCGUGGAGGAAGAAGGUCUUCGGAUUGUAAACUCCUGUUGUAGAGGAAGAUAAUGACGGUACUCAACAAGGAAGUGACGGCUAACUACGUG